RNAcentral lists this ribosomal RNA (253 nucleotides) under uncultured bacterium. RNAcentral describes it as "partial 16S ribosomal RNA". It matches the Rfam family "Bacterial small subunit ribosomal RNA", at positions 524 to 776 of the family's 1533-position model. The record is from RNAcentral.
UACGGAGGAUCCAAGCGUUAUCCGGAUUUAUUGGGUUUAAAGGGUGCGUAGGUGGAAGAGUAAGUCAGAGGUGAAAGCUAGCAGCUUAACUGUUAAAUUGCCUUUGAUACUGCUUUUCUUGAGUAUAGUUGGCGUUGGCGGAAUGUGACAUGUAGCGGUGAAAUGCGCAGAUAUCAGGAGGAACACCAGCGGCGAAGGCGGCGCUCUGGGCUGGAACUGACGCUGAGGAGCGAAAGCCAGGGGAGCAAACGGG